Molecule: unclassified non-coding RNA, 345 nt
Filed under: soil metagenome
Description: partial contains 5.8S ribosomal RNA, internal transcribed spacer 2, and large subunit ribosomal RNA
Rfam family: 5.8S ribosomal RNA (bases 1-120)
Source: RNAcentral
GAUGAAGAACGUAGCGAAAUGCGAUAAGUAAUGUGAAUUGCAGAACUCAGUGAAUCAUCGAAUCUUUGAACGCACAUUGCGCCCCCUGGUAUUCCGGGGGGCAUGCCUGUCCGAGCGUCAUUGCUGCCCUCAAGCACGGCUUGUGUGUUGGGCCUCCGUCCUCCUCCCGGGGGCCGGGCCCGAAAGGCAGCGGCGGCACCGCGUCCGGUCCUCGAGCGUAUGGGGCUUCGUCACCCGCUCUUGUAGGCCCGGCCGGCGCUUGCCGACACAUCAAUCUUUUUUCCAGGUUGACCUCGGAUCAGGUAGGGAUACCCGCUGAACUUAAGCAUAUCAAUAAGCGGAGGA